CAGCCGCCGCGGGAAUACGGAGGGUGCAAGCGUUAUCCGGAUUUAUUGGGUUUAAAGGGUCCGUAGGCGGACUUAUAAGUUAGUGGUGAAAGCCUGUCGCUUAACGAUAGAACUGCCAUUGAUACUGUAAGUCUUGAGUAUAUUUGAGGUAGCUGGAAUAAGUAGUGUAGCGGUGAAAUGCAUAGAUAUUACUUAGAACACCAAUUGCGAAGGCAGGUUACCAAGAUAUAACUGACGCUGAGGGACGAAAGCGUGGGUAGCGAACAGGAUUAGAUACCCCCGUAGUCCCUGUCUCUUAUAC
RNAcentral lists this ribosomal RNA (301 nucleotides) under uncultured bacterium. RNAcentral describes it as "partial 16S ribosomal RNA". It matches the Rfam family "Bacterial small subunit ribosomal RNA", at positions 509 to 807 of the family's 1533-position model. The record is from RNAcentral.